RNAcentral lists this ribosomal RNA (569 nucleotides) under uncultured bacterium. RNAcentral's name for it is "bacterial SSU rRNA". It matches the Rfam family "Bacterial small subunit ribosomal RNA", at positions 37 to 698 of the family's 1533-position model. The record is from RNAcentral.
UGGCGGUAGGCCUAACACAUGCAAGUCGAACGAGUGGCGGACGGGUGAGGAAUACAUCGGAAUCUACUCUGUCGUGGGGGAUAACGUAGGGAAACUUACGCUAAUACCGCAUACGAUUGAAUGAGCCGAUGUCGGAUUAGCUAGUUGGCGGGGUAAAGGCCCACCAAGGCGACGAUCCGUAGCUGGUCUGAGAGGAUGAUCAGCCACACUGGAACUGAGACACGGUCCAGACUCCUACGGGAGGCAGCAGUGGGGAAUAUUGGACAAUGGGCGCAAGCCUGAUCCAGCCAUACCGCGUGGGUGAAGAAGGCCUUCGGGUUGUAAAGCCCUUUUGUUGGGAAAGCGGUACCCAAAGAAUAAGCACCGGCUAACUUCGUGCCAGCAGCCGCGGUAAUACGAAGGGUGCAAGCGUUACUCGGAAUUACUGGGCGUAAAGCGUGCGUAGGUGGUCGUUUAAGUCCGUUGUGAAAGCCCUGGGCUCAACCUGGGAACUGCAGUGGAUACUGGGCGACUAGAAUGUGGUAGAGGGUAGCGGAAUUCCUGGUGUAGCAGUGAAAUGCGUAGAGAUC